Anguilla rostrata (American eel) is the source of this 144-nucleotide small nucleolar RNA. RefSeq annotates it as small nucleolar RNA SNORA79. The record is from RefSeq and is a predicted model, not a curated record. The transcript has a single exon. Lineage: Eukaryota; Metazoa; Chordata; Actinopteri; Anguilliformes; Anguillidae.
UGACGACCGUUCCUCCUGCCGCUUCGAGAUCUGGCGGCUAGGAUUUUAGGUUGUCACAGAUCAUAGCGGGUCUUUUUCACCCGGAGUUCGCGAGGUGGCGGGUGCUGCCCCUGUGAACGCUGGAAUUUGCGGGACCCAACACGC